This 1686-nucleotide small RNA is filed under the name Pan troglodytes (chimpanzee). RNAcentral's name for it is "retained intron". Lineage: Eukaryota; Metazoa; Chordata; Mammalia; Primates; Hominidae. The record is from RNAcentral.
UGUGUUGGUCCCUCUUUGUCCGUCUGUCUAGGUGCCAGAUACAUCCCAGUCCCUCCUCUCCUGCAAGCCUCAUUCUCUGCCUCUGUGUCUGGGGGGUGGGAAAGCGGCUCCUUCCCGCCUCUGUUCAGUGGGGCAUGCAGCACUGUGUUUUUGUCCCUGGGCAGGCUGACACAUUGUGGCCUCCAAGCAAAGCACCUAGAGCAGCUCUGCAAGGCUCUUGGAGGAAGCUGCCACCUCGGUCACCUCCACCUCGACCUCAGUGAGAAUGGUUUGUCCCUGGAUGCCGUGUUGGGUUUGGUUCAGUGCUUCUCCACUCUGCAGUGGCUCUUCCGCUUGGACAUCAGCUUUGAAAGCCAACACAUCCUCCUGAGAGGGGACAAGACAAGCAGGGAUAUGUGGGCCACUGGAUCUUUGCCAGACUUCCCAGCUGCAGCCGAGUUCUUAGGGUUCCGUCAGCGCUGCAUCCCCAGGAGCCUCUGCCUCAGUGAGUGUCCUCUGGAGCCCCCAAGCCUCACCCGCCUCUGUGCCACUCUGAAGGACUGCCCGGGACCCCUGGAACUCCAAUUGUCCUGUGAGUUCCUGAGUGACCAGAGCCUGGAGACUCUGCUGGACUGCCUACCUCAACUCCCUCAGCUGAGCCUGCUGCAGCUGAGCCAGACGGGACUGUCCCCGAAAAGCCCCUUCCUGCUGGCCAACACCUUAAGCCUGUGUCCACGGGUUAAAAAGGUGGAUCUCAGGUCCCUGCACCAUGCAACUUUGCACUUCAGAUCCAACCAGGAGGAGGAAGGCAUGUGCUGUGGGUUCACAGGCUGCAGCCUCAGCCAGGAGCACGUAGAGUCAUUCUGCUGGUUGCUGAGCAAGUGUAAAGACCUCAGCCAGGUGGACCUCUCAGCAAACCUGCUGGGCGACAGCGGACUCAGAUGCCUUCUGGAAUGUCUGCCGCAGGUGCCCAUCUCCGGUUUGCUUGAUCUGAGUCACAACAGCGUUUCUCAGGAAAGUGCCCUGUACCUGGUGGAGACACUGCCCUCCUGCCCACGUGUCCGGGAGGCCUCAGUGAACCUGGGCUCUGAGCAGAGCUUCCGGAUUCACUUCUCCAGAGAAGACCAGGCUGGGAAGACACUCAGGCUGAGUGAGUGCAGCUUCCGGCCAGAGCACGUGUCCAGGCUGGCCACCGGCUUGAGCCAGUCCCUGCAGCUGACGGAGCUCACGCUGACCCAGUGCUGCCUGGGCCAGAAGCAGCUGGCCAUCCUCCUGAGCUUGGUGGGGCGACCCGCAGGGCUGUUCAGCCUCAGAUGAGACAGCUGGCUUUUGGGAUCCAGGAUCUGUCACAUCUGGUCUGCAUUUGCACGGGAUGGCGAUGGUCUUCUGACUCUUCUAACCUGCGGCAUCACUGCCCCCACCCCCUCACCACAGCUUUCUGUUUCAUGUCAGUGUCUGUUGACAAAAUCAGCAACUGUGUGUACUGCAGACUGUCCCGCUCCUGACUCUGGUGGCUUUCUCAUGAUGUCAUGGCACGUGUUCCUCUAACCCCGACUUUCCUGGAAACUGGACGUUAGAUCAAAAGGCUCCAUGACAUUCAGUUUCAUGUUUGUGCCCAAAAAACUUACGUCACCGACAGAGCUGUGCACUUCUCAUUGCAGCCUGUGACAAGGCACCUAAGGACUGACUGUUCCCCAAAAUAACCUG